UACGUAGGGUGCGAGCGUUAAUCGGAAUUACUGGGCGUAAAGCGUGCGCAGGCGGUUCGUUGUGUCGGCGGUGAAAGCCCCGGGCUUAACCUGGGAAUGGCCGUUGAAACUGGCGAACUGGAGUGUGGCAGGAGGGGGGGUGGAAUUCCGCGUGUAGCAGUGAAAUGCGCAGAUAUCAGGAGGAACACCGGUGGCGAAGGCGGGUCUCUGGGCCGAUACUGACGCUGAGGAGCGAAAGCGUGGGGAGCGAACAGG
Molecule: ribosomal RNA, 255 nt
Filed under: uncultured bacterium
Lineage: Bacteria
Description: partial 16S ribosomal RNA
Rfam family: Bacterial small subunit ribosomal RNA
Source: RNAcentral